Molecule: non-coding RNA, 99 nt
Organism: Mycena crocata
Lineage: Eukaryota; Fungi; Basidiomycota; Agaricomycetes; Agaricales; Mycenaceae
Source: the annotation of a GenBank genome assembly
GGCUCAGUGGUGGAUGGUCUACACCCACACUCUGUGAACACAAGAUGUAAAGCCGGAGUACAAGUGGAUUCGAAGCUGGUUCGAUUCCGGCCUGAGCCA